Pangasianodon hypophthalmus (striped catfish) is the source of this 7495-nucleotide RNA transcript. RefSeq lists it as uncharacterized. The record is from RefSeq and is a predicted model, not a curated record. The transcript is spliced from 2 exons. Lineage: Eukaryota; Metazoa; Chordata; Actinopteri; Siluriformes; Pangasiidae.
AUUGCCCUUUAAGCUGAAUUUAACUGCAGUAAUUGGUGUGUCCACUAGGAGGUAUAGGCAGUGUCUGAAAUUGUAUACUGUAUUGCCCUUUAAGGAAUUUAACUUUCAAAUAUCUGCUUUAAAUAUUUUUUGGUAAAUAUUCUCAAGUAAAAAUGUGAAGUUCAUAAUUACUUUUCCUUUAUCUACCUCGUUUGUAAAAAUUUAUAUUAUUUAUUUUAUGUGAUGAGGUCACUUCCUGUUAGUGCUCCAGGUUCUGCAUGAAAACAAUGAGACAGACAUAGUGUGCUCUCUCUGAUAAUCCAUUGCAUCCACUAAAAAGCAUCGUAGAGGCAAUGCCGUAAGUUCAUUUAUAUGACAUUAGACAUGUUAAUGAUCAUAUAUUAGUAAUGAUUUUGUUAAAAAUAUGAUGUUUGAUAAGUUGCUAAAAACGGUUGUUUACCAUUGUGUACAAGCUUUCAGUGAUGCUAAUAGCCAUUGUAAUCUCUACUACAGGGAGAACAGUAGUUUAUGUUUAUGUUGCAGUCAUUUAUAAUGCAAUGUUAGUCAAAACAUGGACACUGAAUAUUGCUGUAUUGUUUUAUUACAGUUUUCACCGCAAAUGUUAAUGAGGAAGAGUGACAGUAAAUGAGCAACCUUACUACGACUCUGUUUUCAUUGGCUACGGUUUAACUUGGUGUUUAGUCAGAGUUGCAACACCCUGCACGAGAACACUACAGUGAAAAGGCACCAUUUGAUGUUAAAGUGGUUAAGAUGGCUACAAGCAGUAAGUCGUCUGUGUGCAGCGCAAGAAGCAGCAAGUCAUCCGCAUCAUCGGCGAGUGCAGCCCAUGCCCGGGCCAGAGCUGAAGCCGCCAAAGUGAGAGCAUCCUAUGCCAGCCAAGAGGCUAAACUGAAAAUGGAAAAGGCCACAAGAGAAGCUCAAAAUCAGCUGGAAACAGUAAGAAUAGACACUGAGUUGGAAGUGUUAACGCUUCAACGAGAAGCUGAUGCAGCCGCUGUGGAGGCACAAGUGCUGGAAGAUGCUGAAUUAGCAAUGCAUGCUGCAGUUGAAAGAGGAGGAUCUGAAUCAGAGAAAGUUAAAAUUGACCGUACCAGUGAAUAUGUCAAUUCUCAAAUCAACCUACAGAGGCAUUCUCCCUCUCCACUCUUAUCAGCCUUACCUGUUGCUCCUCCAUUUCAUGCUGACUCACAUAACAGCUUCAUAACAUGGAGUGCACCUGCGAAAGACACUUCACAUACACAGUCUAUCAACAACAAGCCGAAGUCUGAGAAAGCUGAUAGUAUGCACUUACCUGCAACAAACCUAUCUGAUCUGUCUACAGGUGUGAUGAAGUCUGAAGUUGGGAGGACCAGCCCCAUCAUGAACACACAUGCUAAACCUUAUGUUGCUCGAUACAUUCCUCCAGCUAGCACGCCACCUCAGGCAGAGCCUUUGGCACAGUAUUUAGCACGGCGAGACCUCAUUAGUUCAGGACUGUACCAAUUUGAUGAUAAGCCUGAGAAUUAUCGGUCCUGGUAUUCUUCAUUCACCAGUGCAGCUCGUGAAGUUCACCUCACAGCAACCCAGGAAUUGGAUCUCAUGACUAAAUGGCUGGGAAAGGAAUCUGGCGAAAUGGUGAAGCGCAUCCGCUCAGUGCAUGUCAGCAACCCCAACCUUGCUUUACACAAAGCAUGGGAAAGACUACGUGAGUGUUAUGCCGCGCCGGAAAUCAUUGAAAGGUCACUGUUUCAGCGAUUGGACAGUUUUCCUAGGAUUUCAGCUAAAGACUACACCAAAUUACGUGAACUUGGGGAUCUGCUUAUGGAAAUCCAAGGUGCUAAAGAAGAUGGUUAUCUCACAGGUCUGUCAUACCUUGACACUUCACGUGGAAUCGCACCAAUUGUAGAUAAGCUUCCAUAUGGGCUUCAGGACAAGUGGGUGACUUCUGGGUCAUGGUACAAAGAAAAAAAUCACGGCCACUUUCCUCCCUUUGAGUAUUUCUGUAACUUUGUGUGCUAUGAAGCAAAGAAGCGAAACGACCCCAGCUUUAUACAUCAAAGCAGUGCUACAACAACUGCAAAACCAGACAGAUCCAUUGUGAAAAGUUUCCAUAGCAACAAACCCAUCUCAGUUCACAAAACAGAUGUGUGUGCAUCUAAUGAUGACCCAAACAAAAUCUGUCCAUUACACAAUAAACCACACCCCUUGAAAAAAUGCAGAACAUUCAGAAACAAACUCCUCGAAGACAGAAAGGCCUUCCUCAAGGAGAAAGGAAUAUGUUUUAAAUGCUGUUCUUCGGUUUCUCACCUCGCCAAGGAAUGCAAGUCUUCCGUGAAAUGUUCUGAAUGCGGCAGCACCAAUCAUGAUGCGGCCAUGCAUCCUGGCCCAUCACCUGAAGUAGUCAAGGCUCCUUCACCGUCACAAGAGGAUGGCGGGGAGGGAGAAGAUCAUUCGAACACAGCUGUUGUCAGUGCGAGCUGUACAGAAGUUUGCGGUCCAGGUCAGUGGAGCCGCUCAUGCUCAAAAAUCUGCCUCGUAAAGCUGUACCCAAAGGGUUCCAAAGACAUGGCCAUCAAAGCCUAUGUAAUUCUGGAUGACCAGAGCAAUCGUUCAUUAGCCAGACCUGAAUUCUUCGAGCUGUUCAAUGUGGAGAGCAAACAAUUCUCAUAUCAUCUCAGAACUUGCUCUGGCAUCAUAGAAACAUCUGGCAAGAAAGCAGUAGGAUUCCAGAUUGAGUCCCUAGACGGAAAAGUUCUCAUAUCUCUUCCACCACUCAUUGAGUGUCAUGAGAUCAUGAACAAUCGCUCUGAGAUUCCAACACCAAGUGCAGUUCUUUACCAGCCUCAUCUCCGACACAUUGCCAAGCACAUUCCAGAACUAGAACCGGAAGCAGAAAUACUUUUGCUACUCGGAAGAGAUGUGAUUAGGGCACACAAGGUCAGGCAGCAGGUCAAUGGACCAAACAACGCCCCCUUUGCCCAACGACUGGACCUGGGCUGGGUAGUAAUAGGAGAGGUGUGCCUGGGUAAUGUACAUAGGCCAACAGUCAACACAUUCAAGACCAAUGUGCUGGAAAGCGGCCGCCACUCAAUUUUUCAACCCUGUACGAGCUUUAUGCAGGUCAAGGAGACGCAGCAAAGCUGUAGCAUGUCUAACAAAACAACUGAGAAGACGCUUGGACAGACAGUGUUCAGCAGAACUGAGCAUGACAACAAACCUGCUCCAUCCAUGGAAGACACAGCUUUCCUAAAAGUAAUGGACACAAACGUCUACAGAAAUGAUGCUAACAGCUGGGUAGCUCCUCUACCGUUCAGAGAACCACGCCAACCCUUGCCAAACAAUAAGGAGCAAGUUGUUAAUCGACUCACAUGUCUGCAACGAACCUUGAAGAGAAAACCUGAGAUGCAGCAACAGUAUGUGGCAUUCAUGGAAAAGAUCUUCACCAACGGACAUGCUGAGGUAGCGCCGCCACUGAGAGAAGGGGAUGAAUGCUGGUAUCUUCCUACAUUUGGGGUCUACCAUCCCCAAAAACCCAAUCAGAUCAGGGUGGUCUUUGAUUCCAGUGCUCGAUACUCUGGCGUCUCUCUCAAUGAUGUGCUCCUUACAGGCCCCGACCUCAAUAACUCCCUUGUCGGUGUCCUGCUACGCUUUCGGAAAGAGAAGGUUGCAAUCCUAGCGGACAUUCAGCAGAUGUUCCAUUGUUUCUUGGUGCACGAUGACCAUCGUAACUUCCUCCGUUUUCUAUGGCACAAGGACAAUGACGUCAACAAGGAAAUUAUUGAGUAUCGAAUGAAGGUCCACGUUUUCGGCAAUCGGCCAUCUCCUGCCGUGGCCAUUUACGGGCUGCGAAGAGCCAUCAGAGAAGGUGCACAGGAGCAUGGUGCUGAUACCGUCAAGUUUGUGGAAAGACAUUUCUAUGUUGAUGAUGGUUUGGUAUCUGUACCAUCUGAAGCUGAGGCAAUCGAUUUGCUCCAACGAACACAGGCCUCACUAGCUGAGUCAAACAUCCAUUUGCACAAGUUUGCUUCGAACUCUCAGACAGUCAUGGAAGCUUUUCCUCCUGAAGAUUGUGCUCCAGUAAUCAAGGACCUAGAUCUGAGUGGAGAAACUUCUCCCAUGCAACGGAGUUUAGGUCUGCUAUGGGAGAUCACAACCGACACAUUCACCUACUCCACAUCGACCAUUACCAAACCAUUCACCCGUCGUGGAGUCCUCUCCACUGUCAACAGUGUUUUCGAUCCUCUAGGUUUAUUGGCACCUGUCACGAUCCAGGGAAGAGCCCUUCUCAGAGAACUUACCUUCGAACAGUCAGACUGGGACACAUUCCUCCCGGAGGACAAACUAAGCAAAUGGGAAGCCUGGAGAGAUUCUCUCCAAGACCUCGAACAACUUCAUGUUCUGCGUACGUACACAACAACUUCACUAACUGAAGCAGUGUACACAGAAUUGUGUGUAUUCUCGGAUGCAUCGACUAAGGCUAUAGGUGCUGUGGCAUAUCUGAAAGCACUUCAGAAAGAUGGGCAAGUCGAAGUAGGAUUUGUUAUGGGCAAGGCGAAACUAGCACCCCUGUCCGAACCUACAAUCCCAAGGCUUGAGCUGUGUGCUGCUGUCUUAGCAGUAGAGAUGGCAGAUCUCAUUGAGGAUGAGCUAGAUUUAGAGUUGAAUGACAUAAAGUUCUUUACAGACAGCAAAGUGGUGCUUGGCUACAUUUAUAACGAGUCAAAACGAUUCUAUGUGUAUGUUCACAAUAGAGUCCAACGCAUUCGUCAGUCCUCGAGACCUGAGCAGUGGCACUACGUACGUACGGAAGAAAACCCUGCAGAUCAUGCGUCGCGAUCUUUACCUGCAUCCUGCCUAGCGCAGACUUCUUGGUUCAGCGGUCCCUCCUUCCUGCGUCAGCCACCUGCAGAAAAAACACAAAUGACUGAGAAGUAUGAGCUAAUUGAACCUGAAAACGACUCAGAAAUCCGGCCACAAGUACAAACAUGUGCUACUAACCUGGAAGAACCAGAGCUUACCUCUAACCGAUUCCAGCGGUUCUCCACCUUCACCUCCCUAGUAAGAGGAGUAGCAUUUCUAGUUCACAUGGCAAAAUCCUUCAAGCACACGAACCAAAACAGCAAAUGCAAAGGUUGGCACAGAUGUGACUUACCUCGUACUCCAGAUGAAAUUGAUCAAGCAAGGAAUGUUAUCCUUAAAGCAACACAAAAGGCUGCAUUUGCAAAAGAACUGUCAGCCCUCCAAGCUAACCAAGCUGUAUCCAAAAGUAGCCGCUUGUGGAAACUCAGUCCAAUUAUGGAGGACAAUUUCAUUUGUGUUGGAGGACGACUAAAGUACUCUGAGGUUGCAACUGCAGAAAAGAACCCAAUAAUUCUUCCCAAAGAUAGCCACAUAUCCCUACUACUCAUUCGACGUCACCAUGAGCAAGUGAAACAUCAAGGCCGUCACUUGACGGAAGGAGCAAUCAGGGCAGCAGGACUGUGGAUCUUGGGAGGCAAGUCGCUAAUCAAUUCAGUACUCCACAAAUGCAUAACCUGUCGCAAGCUGCGUGGAAAGCUUGAAGAACAACGCAUGGCGGACCUGCCAUCUGAACGUCUCAAAAUCUGCCCCCCCUUUACGUAUGUGGGUCUCGAUGUAUUUGGACCCUGGUCUGUCACAAGCAGACGCACCAGAGGAGGACAGGCGGAGAGCAAGCGGUGGGCCAUCAUGUUCUGCUGUAUGAGUUCGAGAGCUGUGCACGUUGAGGUCGUUGAGUCUAUGGACGCGUCAAGUUGCAUAAAUGCUCUCAGGCGCUUCUUUGCACUCAGAGGCCCUGCGAAACAGCUCCAUUCCGAUUGCGGUACCAAUUUCAUCAGAGCGUGCAAGGAGCUUGGAAUGGACAAAAUAGUGCAGAAGUACCUCAGUGAGCAAGGAUGCAGCUGGGAAUUCAACCCACCACACAGUUCUCACAUGGGAGGCUCGUGGGAGCGCCUGAUCGGCAUUGCCAGGAGAAUCCUAGAUUCAAUGUUUCUGCAGCUGAAAACUCGCUUAACCCACGAAGUUCUUUGCACACUAAUGGCAGAAGUUACUGCUAUCAUUAAUGCACGACCACUCCUACCUGUGUCUGCAGACCCGGAACAACCAUUCAUACUUUCACCGUCAGUGCUCCUUACACAGAAGACAGGAGUUCCGCCUCCUCCUGGAGACUUCUCGGACAAGGACCUGUACACAAAGCAAUGGAGACAGGUUCAAGCUCUUGCAAACCAGUUCUGGACCCGCUGGAGCCGUGAAUACUUACCUUGCUUGCAACACAGACAGAAGUGGACAGUACCUCGCAGAAACCUUCAAGUGGGGGAUCUAGUUCUGCUCAGGGACAAGCAGAUAGCCCGCAACUGUUGGCCCAUGGCCAGAAUCUCUGCCGUAUUCCCUGGAAAGGAUGGCCAUGUAAGAAAGAUUGAGGUCACAACAACUGACCAAGGCAAUAUAAAAACCUUUCUGAGGCCAAUUGCAGAAGUUGUUCUACUUCUACCCAAAGACUGAUCUAGAGACUAAGGUUUAGCAUGCUCACAAGUUCAUAGUGACCUCACGUAGGUCAGGCGGGGAGUGUAUUGCCCUUUAAGCUGAAUUUAACUGCAGUAAUUGGUGUGUCCACUAGGAGGUAUAGGCAGUGUCUGAAAUUGUAUACUGUAUUGCCCUUUAAGGAAUUUAACUUUCAAAUAUCUGCUUUAAAUAUUUUUUGGUAAAUAUUCUCAAGUAAAAAUGUGAAGUUCAUAAUUACUUUUCCUUUAUCUACCUCGUUUGUAAAAAUUUAUAUUAUUUAUUUUAUGUGAUGAGGUCACUUCCUGUUAGUGCUCCAGGUUCUGCAUGAAAACAAUGAGACAGACAUAGUGUGCUCUCUCUGAUAAUCCAUUGCAUCCACUAAAAAGCAUCGUAGAGGCAAUGCCCUACACGUUACUCCUGCUGCCUGAUGAUGGGAUGCCUGUACCUGACUCCCUGCCUGGCCUAUCCUAAUACUCUACUUCAGCUUGGAGCUUUCACUUGAGAAUCACCUGCUGCUGCUGAGGAUGGCCCCACAUGAAUAGCCUGAAGAUUGUACUUGCCAAAUCAGUUUAUGCCAAAAUCUCUCUCAUUCUUCAGUGGAUAAUUUCACUUGGAUACUGGAGAUUUAAAGUGAAAAACUCUACUGCAAUCAGAAAAGAUGCUCAUAAUAAAGAUUCUUUCAAAACACACACAGCAGACAGUUGUGGAAGAGUAAUGACUUACAAUCGCACUAUCCAGUGUUACACAGAAGAGGAUGGGUUCCCUUUGGAGUCUGGUUCCUCUCAAGGUUCGUCCUCAUGUCAUCACAGAGAGUUUUCCCUUUUUAAAUAUACUUUAUUGAUAAUACUUCAACAUGUUACACUUAUUAACAGUACAGACAUUAUCACAGACAUCAAUACAGAGCUUCACCGCAUACAAAUACAAACAUUUCAAACAUAGUUUUUAGUCUGUUCCGAAAAAUUCACAAUCACAGUUUUAAAAAAUUGCAAAAAUGGAU